RNAcentral lists this ribosomal RNA (466 nucleotides) under uncultured bacterium. RNAcentral's name for it is "partial 16S ribosomal RNA". It matches the Rfam family "Bacterial small subunit ribosomal RNA", at positions 339 to 795 of the family's 1533-position model. The record is from RNAcentral.
CUACGGGACGCUCCAGUCGAGAAUCGUCUACAAUGGGGGAAACCCUGAUAGUGCGACGCCGCGUGAACGAUGAAGCUUUUCGGAGUGUAAAGUUCUUUUCUGUAUGAGCAAUGCUUUAUUGUAUAAGAUAUAAUAGAGAGAGAUAUUAGUACAGGAAUAAGCCACGGCUAACUCCGUGCCAGCAGCCGCGGUAAUACGGGGGUGGCAAGCGUUGUCCGGAAUUACUAGGCGUAAAGGGCAGGUAGGCGGAUAUUCAAGUCAGGCGUUAAAGGCAUCAGCUCAACUGGUGUACGGCGUUUGAAACUGUAUAUCUAGAGUCAGGUAGAGGUAGAUGGAAUUCCUAGUGUAGCGGUGGAAUGCGCAGAGAUUAGGAAGAACACCAAAGGCGAAGGCAAUCUACUGGGCCAUGACUGACGCUAAACUGCGAAGGUGUGGGUAUCAAACAGGAUUAGAUACCCUUGUAGUC